RNAcentral lists this transfer RNA (72 nucleotides) under bacterium. Its description in RNAcentral is "tRNA-Arg". It matches the Rfam family "tRNA". Rfam says of the family: Transfer RNA (tRNA) molecules are approximately 80 nucleotides in length. The record is from RNAcentral.
GCCCUCGUGGUGAAACGGAUAUCACACCUGACUUCGGAUCAGGCGGUCCGGGUUCGAUUCCUGGCGAGGGCA